This 498-nucleotide ribosomal RNA is filed under the name uncultured bacterium. Its description in RNAcentral is "partial 16S ribosomal RNA". It matches the Rfam family "Bacterial small subunit ribosomal RNA", at positions 30 to 523 of the family's 1533-position model. The record is from RNAcentral.
AUUGAACGCUGGCGGCAUGCCUUACACAUGCAAGUCGAACGGUAACAGGUCUUCGGAUGCUGACGAGUGGCGAACGGGUGAGUAAUACAUCGGAACGUGCCUAGUAGUGGGGGAUAACUACUCGAAAGAGUGGCUAAUACCGCAUGAGAUCUACGGAUGAAAGCAGGGGAUCGCAAGACCUUGUGCUACUAAAGCGGCCGAUGGCAGAUUAGGUAGUUGGUGGGAUAAAAGCUUACCAAGCCGACGAUCUGUAGCUGGUCUGAGAGGACGAUCAGCCACACUGGGACUGAGACACGGCCCAGACUCCUACGGGAGGCAGCAGUGGGGAAUUUUGGACAAUGGGCGAAAGCCUGAUCCAGCAAUGCCGCGUGCAGGAUGAAGGCCUUCGGGUUGCAAACUGCUUUUGUACGGAACGAAAAGCCCCGGGUUAAUACCCUGGGGUCAUGACGGUACCGUAAGAAUAAGCACCGGCUAACUACGUGCCAGCAGCCACCGUAA